AUAUCAAUAAGCGGAGGAAAAGAAACUAACAAGGAUUCCCCUAGUAACGGCGAGUGAAGCGGGAUGAGCUCAAAUUUAAAAUCUGGCUGGUUUACUAGUCCGAAUUGUAGUUUAUAGAAGCGUUUUCGGUGGCAGCCUGGGUAUAAAUCCUUUGGAAUAGGGUAUCAUAGAGGGUGAGAAUCCCGUCUUUGACUCAGUGCAUGCUACUAUGUGAUACGUUUUCAAAGAGUCGAGUUGUUUGGGAAUGCAGCUCAAAAUGGGUGGUAAAUUUCAUCUAAAGCUAAAUAUUGGCGAGAGACCGAUAGCGAACAAGUACCGUGAGGGAAAGAUGAAAAGAACUUUGAAAAGAGAGUUAAACAGUGCGUGAAAUUGUUGAAAGGGAAACGUUUGACACCAGUUAUGCGGGUGGAAAAUCAGUCUUUUGCAAUGGGGAGUUGUGGGCGUUCAGACCGCAAGGCUGGCGUUUGCUUCAUCUUUGUUGUAAGUGAUGCACUUUUUCAUUUGCAGGUCAACAUCAGUUUGCUUUGCUGGACAAAACCCCAAGGGAAGGUGGCAGCUUAGGCUGUGUUAUAGCCCUGGGGCGAUACAGUGGAGUGGACUGAGGUUUCGCAGUGUGUGCUCUCGGGCAAGGCUGACUGGGUGCUAUGGGAUCGUUCGGCGUACAAUGCAUGCAUUUUGCGUCGUGUCUUUUUCAUACUCGCUCAACUCGGCUCUUCCACACUUAGGAUGUUGACUUAAUGGUUUUAAACGA
RNAcentral lists this ribosomal RNA (751 nucleotides) under uncultured fungus. Its description in RNAcentral is "eukaryotic LSU rRNA". It matches the Rfam family "Eukaryotic large subunit ribosomal RNA", at positions 40 to 647 of the family's 3401-position model. The record is from RNAcentral. Lineage: Eukaryota; Fungi.